GGAAGGAUCAUUAACAUUACACCAUUACGAACCCGUGAAGCGUUGAAGUAAACAUUUUUUUAUGUAACCCCUGUAUUCAAGUCUGAUAGUUUUUUCUUUAAUGAGAGAACAAAAAUACACGACCUUUAACAAUGGAUGCCUCGGCUCCUACAUCGAUGAAGAGCGUAGCAAACUACGAUAAUUAUUGUGAAUUGCAGAAUUCAGCGAAUCAUCAAAACCUUGAACGCAAAUGGCGCCUGCAGGACAAUUUUCUUGCAGGCACAUCCGGUUGAGUGUCAAAUCCAUUAUCCAAAAAACCCAAUUCUAUUGGUGCUUUUUGGGGAAUCGAGUGUCAAUACUUUUUAUCAAGUGUUGUCACUUUAGAAGAUAAGCUUUGGGAUUUGAAGUCAUGAUUUCUUCAGGCACAUAUAAACUGAUUUGACUAUUUUUUUGUAUACCGCUUGCUGAUUGAAAUGAAUUCAGUUGUCUCAGGCUCUUACAGAAGAGAGAAAAAAAAGACGCCUCUUCUCCUUUUUGAAAGGGAUUUUGUCAUUUGGUUAACAAUGAGCCUUUUUCCUUGCGAGGAAAAGAAUGACCUCAAUUUGGAUGUGGCUACCCCCUGAACUUAAGCAUAUCAAUAAGGGGAGGAAAAGAAAUUAACUAAGAUUCCCGUAGUAACUGCGAGUGAAGUGGGAAAAGCUCAAACUUAAAAUCUGGACACCAAGUGUUCCGAAUUGUAGUCUUCCGAAUGGUGUUCACGGGAUGGUUCUUUUGGUCUAAGUUCCCUGGAACGGGACGCCACAGAAGGUGAUAGCCCUGUUCAUGUCCAGAAUGAAUUAUUCAACACGUGUCGCCAAUUCGUCGAGUCGGGUUGUUUGAGAGUACAGCCCUAAAUGGGAGGUAAAUUCCUUCUAAAGCUAAAUACGGGUAGGAGACCGAUAGAAAACAAGUACCGUGAGGGAAAGGUGCAAAGAACUUUGAAAAGAGAGUUAAAAGAACCUGAAAUUGUUAAAGGGGAAGCGAUUGGGUACUGCCUUGAUACUGCCUUGGAUUCAUCUUUUGAUCUUAUGUUGGUAAGGUGAAAGAGAUUCACUUGCGGGUGGACUCUGAUCCCUAUUAAUGUGAGGUCAAUUGAGCACUUCUUCGGUAACAUCGUCCAAUAUCAGUGAAUGUAGCAGUAGAAGGCUGGUCGAGGGGUGCUGAUGUGUUGAUCCUUGUGGUUAAUGUGUUGGUCUAAAUCUUCCAAACUUGCUGUUCCGUUCACUGAGGAUCUAAUAACCAAAUCCUUUUUGGAGAGGGGAGGGUGGGGUCUGAGAGUUGCAUGUAGAGGUUUCUGGUCAACAGAUGCUUUUGUUUGUAAUAAUCACUACUUUACUCGCCACUCUUUUGGUUAGAGAUGUUGGAAUUGGUAGUCUCAACCGUCCCGUCUUGAAACACGGACCAAGGAGUCUAACAUAUAUGCAAGUGAGUGGGUUUUAAACCUAAAAGCGAAAUGAAAGUGAUUGAUGUGAUGGAAGUUCUUUGGAACAACUUGCAACAUCUGCCGAUUUGUUCAUCUUUGGAUAUAUUCGAGUAGGAGCACAUAUGUUGGGACCCGAAAGAUUGCGAACUAUGCUUGCAUAGGGUGAAGCCAGGCGAAAGUCUGGUGGAGGCUCGUAGCGAUACUGACGUGCAAAUCGUUCGUCAAAUGUGGGUAUAGCGGCGAAAGACUAAUCGAGCAAUCUAGUAGCUGGUUUCCUC
Molecule: unclassified non-coding RNA, 1719 nt
Filed under: uncultured fungus
Lineage: Eukaryota; Fungi
Description: sequence contains 18S rRNA gene, ITS1, 5.8S rRNA gene, ITS2, 28S rRNA gene
Rfam family: Eukaryotic large subunit ribosomal RNA (bases 572-1719)
Source: RNAcentral